CGAGGAACAGAUGAAAAAGGAGUUUGAGAGUCUUCACCAGUUUUUGAGAGAGGAGGAAGCAGCCAGGAUACUUGAACUCAGGAAGGAACAGGGAUGAUUUUUUACAGUACCUGGAUGAGUCACACAGAGCCAAAGGUUGGCAGCUCUCUGAUAGAUGUGGCCAAACACCUGGGAUAUCCUCCACUGUGCUGUCAGGGAGAAGAUGAAACACACUGGCACCAACAUUAUCUCACCUGUAGUGUCAACAGAUGGCAUGAGUCGCAGGAAGACUGGGCGUGCAUAAGAGGGCAGGGCUUUCUGUACAGCAGUGAAAAAUGCAUUGAGGUCAAACUGGUCUCCUGCAUGAGCUAUUGCUGCCAUACCAGCCUUUCCCUCCACACCUGCAGACAGACAGAAUGGUGAUAAACUCCAUAGACGGCCACGUCAGUAUGUCCCAGCAGGCCACUGAGGACUCCCUCCACCUCUGUGGUGGAAACAUUCUCCCCUCGCCAUCGAAACGUGUCGCCGCUGCGAUCCCUGAAGUACAUGUAGCCAUAUUC
Molecule: long non-coding RNA, 539 nt
Organism: Toxotes jaculatrix (banded archerfish)
Lineage: Eukaryota; Metazoa; Chordata; Actinopteri; Toxotidae
Exons: 4
Source: RefSeq, a predicted model, not a curated record